GUCUACAGCCAUACCACCCUGAACGCGCCCGAUCUCAUCAGAUCUCAGAAGCUAAGCAGGGUUGGGCCUGGUUAGUACUUGGAUGGGAGACCGCCUAGGAAUAUAGGGUGCCGUAGGCU
This is a ribosomal RNA of Cebus imitator (Panamanian white-faced capuchin), 119 nucleotides long. The record is from Ensembl. Lineage: Eukaryota; Metazoa; Chordata; Mammalia; Primates; Cebidae.